UACGUAGGUGGCAAGCGUUGUCCGGAUUUAUUGGGUUUAAAGGGCUCGUAGGCGGUCUGUUGCGUCGGGAGUGAAAACUUACAGCUUAACUGUGAGCGUGCUUUCGAUACGGGCAGACUUGAGGCAUUCAGGGGAGAACGGAAUUCCUGGUGUAGCGGUGAAAUGCGCAGAUAUCAGGAGGAACACCGGUGGCGAAGGCGGUUCUCUGGGAAUGUCCUGACGCUGAGGAGCGAAAGUGUGGGGAGCGAACAGG
Molecule: ribosomal RNA, 253 nt
Filed under: uncultured bacterium
Lineage: Bacteria
Description: partial 16S ribosomal RNA
Rfam family: Bacterial small subunit ribosomal RNA
Source: RNAcentral